Molecule: ribosomal RNA, 253 nt
Filed under: uncultured bacterium
Lineage: Bacteria
Description: partial 16S ribosomal RNA
Rfam family: Bacterial small subunit ribosomal RNA
Source: RNAcentral
UACGAAGGGGGCUAGCGUUGCUCGGAAUCACUGGGCGUAAAGGGUGCGUAGGCGGGUUUUUAAGUCAGGGGUGAAAUCCUGGAGCUCAACUCCAGAACUGCCUUUGAUACUGAAGAUCUUGAGUCCGGGAGAGGUGAGUGGAACUGCGAGUGUAGAGGUGAAAUUCGUAGAUAUUCGCAAGAACACCAAUGGCGAAGGCAGCUCACUGGGACGGUACUGACGCUGAGGAGCGAAAGCGUGGGGAGCGAACAGG